RNAcentral lists this ribosomal RNA (347 nucleotides) under uncultured bacterium. RNAcentral describes it as "partial 16S ribosomal RNA". It matches the Rfam family "Bacterial small subunit ribosomal RNA", at positions 338 to 696 of the family's 1533-position model. The record is from RNAcentral.
CCUACGGGUGGCAGCAGUCGAGAAUCAUUCACAAUGGGGGAAACCCUGAUGGUGCGACGCCGCGUGGGGGAAUGAAGGUCUUCGGUUUGUAAACCCUUGUCAUGUGGGCGCAAUUUAAAAAGAUAGUACCACAAGAGGAAGAGACGGCUAACUCUGUGCCAGCAGCCGCGGUAAUACGUAGGUCUCAAGCGUUGUUUGUAAUUACUGGGGGUAAAGCGUGCGUAGGCUGUUUCGUAAGUCGUGUGUGAAAGGCGCGGGCUCAACCCGCGGACGGCACUUGAUACUGCGAGACUAGAGUAAUGGAGAGGGAACCGGAAUUCUCGGUGUAGCAGUGAAAUGCGUAGAUA